Molecule: ribosomal RNA, 1152 nt
Filed under: Triticum aestivum (bread wheat)
Lineage: Eukaryota; Viridiplantae; Streptophyta; Magnoliopsida; Poales; Poaceae
Description: partial small subunit ribosomal RNA
Source: RNAcentral
AUGCGGCUGGAUGCGCUCCGGCUGGCCUACGACUGGGCCCUCAAGGGCGAGGACACGGCUCUCCACCGCGACGUCUCCGCCAAGAUCGCCGGCCGCCUCGGCCCCCGCUACGCCGCCGACCAGCCCUGGUCCGACGCCGUCGAGCGCCGCGCCCUGCUGCGCAAGGAUAAGCUUGACAGCGAGCUCAACGUCUACAGGUCAUUCUACCCGCAGACCAAUCUGAUCAAAGAGAGUAUCCGGUUGGGCUACAAUGACCUUGGUGAUUUCCACUAUGCUCAAGGCCACCUUUCAGACGCCUUCAAGAGCUAUAUCAGGACCCGCGAUUACUGCACUACCUCGAAGCAUGUUGUUCAGAUGUGCUUGAAUGUCAUACUUGUUAGCAUUGAGCUGGGGCAGUUUAUGCACGUCUCAAAUUAUGUCAUCAAGGCGGAGCAGACCCCAGACGACAUGGAUCCUAUUACUGCCGCCAAGUUGCGAGCUGCUGCUGGAUUAGCCUACAUGGAAACAAACAAGUACAAACUUGCUGCCCGGAAGUUUAUAGAAACAGGAUCAGAGCUGAGGAGCAACUAUUCUGAAGUUAUAGCUCCACAAGAUGUUGCUGUCUAUGGUGCACUAUGCGCGCUUGCUUCUUUUGAUCGCUCAGAGCUGAAGAGCAAAGUUAUUGACAACUACAAUUUUCGCAAUUUUUUGGAGUUGGUGCCUGAAGUAAGGGAGCUGGUAAAUGAUUUUUAUGCAAGCCGCUAUGGGUCAUGUCUGGGAUAUCUUGAGAAGCUGAAGUCAAACCUGCUGCUGGAUAUGCAUCUGCAUGGGCAUAUAGAAACUCUGUACAAGGACAUUCGACACAAAGCCAUCAUACGGUACACUUUCCCAUUCAUAUCUGUUGAUCUCAACUUGAUGGCUGUUGCCUUCCAGACCUCCGUGUCCCUGCUAGAGAAAGAGCUGGCAGCGCUUAUCACUGAUAACAAAAUACAGGCUCGUAUCGACUCGCACAACAAGAUUCUGUACGCAAGUCACGCCGACCAAAGGAACGCAACUUUCCAGCGUGCACUGCAGACUGGCAAUGAGUUUGAGAGGGAUGUCAAGUCCAUGCUUCUGAGGGCGAACCUUCUCAAGCACGAUUUCAGCCAGAAGGCAGCAGAAAGGAAGGUGUGA